This 703-nucleotide long non-coding RNA is filed under the name Spirodela polyrhiza (greater duckweed). Its description in RNAcentral is "long non-coding RNA (SPOL_LNC001989)". Lineage: Eukaryota; Viridiplantae; Streptophyta; Magnoliopsida; Alismatales; Araceae. The record is from RNAcentral.
UCCCUCUUGAGCUUGCUUGCUAAUGAAGAAUUCUUUUCCCAAGCCUAUAUAUUACUGACCGUGAAAAAAGAAAGAAGAGCAACCAAGUCAUCAUUGAUUGUCCACUCUCGUUCCUGAACCUUUCUUUUGCUGCUCAAAGUCUACCUUUUCAAUCUCUAUCUUUUGUUUUCUAUCACACAUCAGUGCUAUCUCUUCCCAGUAAGUUUUUCCCUCUUUCCUUCUCUUCUUUUGACUCUCCCUCUUCUUCUCCUUUAUAGUUUUUUUUAGUAGGUUUUUGCUAGGGUUUGGCAGUGUUUAGGUCUUACAGUUUAAGACCUAGGAUUCGGGUUUAGAAUAUUGGAUUAACAUAUUUUCUUAUAGGGUCUAGGGUUGGUCUCAAGACUUAGAGUUUGGCUUUGAAAAAUUGGGUUUAUAAUAUAUUAGGUCGUGGCCAUAAGGUUAGGGUUGUAGUGUGUAGGUUUUAGGGUUGAAGAUAUGUGAUUUUGGGUUGAGGGUUUUAGGUCAGCAUUUUUUGUAUUAAUGUCUAGGGCUUUAGUGUUUCAUGGUCUUUAGCAUAUAGGUAUCAGAGAUUAGCUUUGUAUUUAUUUUUGUCCAAAGUGAAUUUUCUUAACAUUUCAAGCAAAUAUCUAGCAGAAAAUUAUGUAAGUCAGGGUUUGUCUAGGUUUUAGGAUGCAUGGGACAACCUCCCUACUCUCUAUGGGCC